GCCGCUCGCGCCCGGCAGGACGGGCACCGGACUCUUAAUCCGGCGUGGCGGGGUUCGAGUCCCCGGGGCGGUA
Molecule: transfer RNA, 73 nt
Filed under: Thermomonospora umbrina
Lineage: Bacteria; Bacillati; Actinomycetota; Actinomycetes; Streptosporangiales; Thermomonosporaceae
Description: Actinomadura umbrina tRNA-Lys
Rfam family: tRNA
About the family: Transfer RNA (tRNA) molecules are approximately 80 nucleotides in length. Their secondary structure includes four short double-helical elements and three loops (D, anti-codon, and T loops).
Source: RNAcentral